GAGGGGUGCAAGCGUUAUUCGGAUUCAUUGGGGCGUAAAGGGGUGUGUAGGCGGCAGGUUAAGUCAACUGGUUAAAUUUUCCGGCCUAACCGGAAGCAUGCAGUAGAUACUAGCUUGCUAGUGGAUGAGAGAGAGAAGUGGAAUUCUCGGAGUAGCGGUAAAAAUGCGUGGAUCUCGAGAGGAACACCAAUGGCGAAGGCAGCCUCUUGGCUCAUUCCAGACGCUGAGACACGAAAGCGUGGGGAGCAAACAGGAUUAGAUACCCUGGUAGUCCACGCUGUAAACGAUGAUCACUAGACGUUAGACUUGUUUUACAAGUUUAGUGUCGUAGCUAACGCGAUAAGCGAUCCGCCUGGGGACUACGGUCGCAAGAUUA
Molecule: ribosomal RNA, 376 nt
Filed under: uncultured organism
Description: partial 16S ribosomal RNA
Rfam family: Bacterial small subunit ribosomal RNA
Source: RNAcentral